UGUGCCUACGGGACGCAGCAGCCGCGGUAAUACGUAGGUGGCAAGCGUUAUCCGGAUUUAUUGGGCGUAAAGGGAACGCAGGCGGUCUUUUAAGUCUGAUGUGAAAGCCUUCGGCUUAACCGGAGUAGUGCAUUGGAAACUGGGAGACUUGAGUGCAGAAGAGGAGAGUGGAACUCCAUGUGUAGCGGUGAAAUGCGUAGAUAUAUGGAAGAACACCAGUGGCGAAAGCGGCUCUCUGGUCUGUAACUGACGCUGAGGUUCGAAAGCGUGGGUAGCAAACAGGAUUAGAUACCCCAGUAUCCGCA
This 305-nucleotide ribosomal RNA is filed under the name uncultured bacterium. RNAcentral's name for it is "bacterial SSU rRNA". It matches the Rfam family "Bacterial small subunit ribosomal RNA", at positions 496 to 799 of the family's 1533-position model. The record is from RNAcentral.